UGGGGAAUUUUGGACAAUGGGCGCAAGCCUGACCCAGCCAUGCCGCGUGCGGGAAGAAGGCCUUCGGGUUGUAAACCGCUUUUGUCAGGGAAGAAAUCUUCUGAGUUAAUACCUCGGGAGGAUGACGGUACCUGAAGAAUAAGCACCGGCUAACUACGUGCCAGCAGCCGCGGUAAUACGUAGGGUGCAAGCGUUAAUCGGAAUUACUGGGCGUAAAGCGUGCGCAGGCGGUUUUGUAAGACAGAGGUGAAAUCCCCGGGCUCAACCUGGGAACUGCCUUUGUGACUGCAAGGCUUGAGUGCGGCAGAGGGGGGAUGGAAUUCCGCGUGUAGCAGUGAAAUGCGUAGAUAUGCGGAGGAACAUCGAUGGCGAAGGCAAUCCCCUGGGCCUGCACUGACGCUCAUGCACGAAAGCGUGGGGAGCAAACAGGAUUAGAUACCCUGGUAGUCCACGCCCUAAACGAUGUCAACUGGUUGUUGGGAAGGUUCCUUCUCAGUAACGUAGCUAACGCGUG
This 514-nucleotide ribosomal RNA is filed under the name uncultured bacterium. RNAcentral describes it as "partial 16S ribosomal RNA". It matches the Rfam family "Bacterial small subunit ribosomal RNA", at positions 355 to 861 of the family's 1533-position model. The record is from RNAcentral.